This 333-nucleotide ribosomal RNA is filed under the name uncultured bacterium. Its description in RNAcentral is "bacterial SSU rRNA". It matches the Rfam family "Bacterial small subunit ribosomal RNA", at positions 568 to 898 of the family's 1533-position model. RNAcentral also lists the same sequence under 1 other name. The record is from RNAcentral.
CUCGUAGGCGGUUUGUCGCGUCGGGAGUGAAAUCCACUGGCUUAACUGGUGGCUUGCUUUCGAUACGGGCAGACUGGAGGUAUGCAGGGGAGAACGGAAUUCCUGGUGUAGCGGUGAAAUGCGCAGAUAUCAGGAGGAACACCGGUGGCGAAGGCGGUUCUCUGGGCAUGUCCUGACGCUGAGGAGCGAAAGUGUGGGGAGCGAACAGGAUUAGAUACCCUGGUAGUCCACACCGUAAACGUUGGGCGCUAGGUGUGGGAUCCAUUCCACGGGUUCCGUGCCGCAGCUAACGCAUUAAGCGCCCCGCCUGGGGAGUACGGCCGCAAGGCUAAA